UAGUAACAUAAUCAAAGGACACAGCCUGGAACCGGUGGGGCCAAGGCAAAGCCUGUCCCACAGCCAGCAGGGGCCUCCAGGUGGAGCUGCCCAGGGUCCCCACCCAGCCCGGCGGGGGUCUCCUCCGUCUUCCUUCCCCGUCAGAGGAUUUUCCCUCUUAGCCACUCAAGUUGGGGACUGUGUAGACGCUGCUACUGGGUUAGUCAGUGCAGACUCUGGUGAGUAACUGGGUAAUUAUUUCCAAAAAUAUUGACUUGUAAUGUGAAGAAAGCUCUUCUCCAUGCCACCCGUCAGCAGAAAAUUGCCUUUGGUAUUAACAUUUCACCAACUGCAUAAUGUGAAUUGAUGUAAAUGCAUAAUUAGAAAUAAUAGCCUGGGAAAAUUCACUCUUAUUUAUAAAAUUGGGCUUGUUAAAUUAAAAUGGAAGCUAACAGCUUCCAUCUCACUCUUACGACAUGUCGGAGGCAGUGCCUGCCUGGUUCUGCAGAACCCUCCAUCAGCGGGUAGGGGCAUGUCCGUGGCUCAGUGGGGAGACCUUGGAGAGGGGACACUCGCUGAGCAGGCAUGGACGCCACCUGUCCAAAAGGUGGCUCUCUAGUAACACGCACAGGCCUCUCGAAGACGUCUUAAUCAACAGGCAACCAAUGGCAACCCCUCGGGGAAGAGGGCUGGGGACAGUUUCCUCAGCCCUCCUUCUUGUGGAAUGGGGACCAGCACACCUGCCCCACCCGAGUCCCAGGGACGUGGUGGGGGCUGGGUGCGAUGCUGUGCUGUGCUGGGGCAUCGAGGCACAGGAAUGUGCUCUGCAAACGCUGAGAGCUUGCCGAGGGCAGUGAGAAGAGAAACUUCAUCAUCAUCAUCAUCAUCAUCAUCAUCAUCAUCAUCAUCGAUAUUCAUUCAUUCAUUCAACAAGCACUCAUUAAGCAUCUACUACUCCAUGCCAGUCCCUGUGCCAGGUGGUGGAGGUAUAGAGGUGCCCGCACCUCCACAUUGUGGGGAAGGGUAACACUGGCAUUCUGUUCACAUUUAUGAUGAAUGGCUGAUUUUUUGAAGUUUGCCCUACAGCUCCUUCCAUAUGGACAUAACCCUCCCCACAUACCCCAUCCUUAUUAGGUGAGUGGGGCUGACCCCAUUCCCCAGCUUUGGAGAUGGAAAUGUGACCCAGACCUUGAAAAUCAGAACUCUCUAGCCUGUGACCACAGUAAUAAGUCCAAGGAUGCAUGGGGCCCUGGCUGGACAUAAGUCCAUGUCGUAAGGAGGAGUCUGGCCAAGUCACCAAGAAGGCAGCACUCUUUGGUCCCCAGAAUGGCGGGCUGUGAGGAUAGCCAGAGCCAUCUUUGCACCACCUGGGGAGAAGCUAGAGCUGGGACCCCAAGAGACGACCUUGUGGUGUUGCUCGUGUCCUUGGUGCAGCCAUGCCUGAGGCAGGUGCCCCACACUCCUCAGUUCCGUGGCCAGGACCCUGUUUUUGUUUUCACACUGCAGUCGGAGCUCCGUUUCCUGUCAGUUACUACGGGAAGAGUCUGGGCUCUUUAUCCCCGAAUAAAAACCGCUCAUCAGAUAGCAGCCAUCACUGCUUCUAAGGCUCAGCUUAAAGGAGCUCCCCUUCCAGAAGCACUUGCUGAUGUGCUCGCAGUCCCAUCUUCCAACCCUGCGGGGCGUGUUGUCUGUCCCUCUUCCGUGGCUCAGGCUGUGCCCUCCUGGCAUCGGGUCCUGUUCUCUGCAGUUGAGCCCAGAGGGCCUGGCACUCGUGGAGGCCAUCGUCCUGUCUUCUCCAGGCCUGGAAGCUGUGGUGAAGUCAAGGGGAG
This 1808-nucleotide long non-coding RNA is filed under the name Equus asinus (donkey). Its description in RNAcentral is "lncRNA (ENSEASG00005026467.1)". Lineage: Eukaryota; Metazoa; Chordata; Mammalia; Perissodactyla; Equidae. The record is from RNAcentral.